UCGCACAGCCGGGGAGUUAGCGGUGCCCUGUACCUGCAAUCCGCUAUAGCAGGGGUGAUGUCCGGUCCCGGGUAGCAUAUUGUCGGGCUGCCCUUCAUAAGUGAUGUUGACGUUUGGGUCUCGCGCAAUGGCAGCCUGUGAACCGUGUCAGGGUAGGAAUACAGCAGCACUAAGCAGUGUCUCUCAUGUGCCGUGAGGGUGCCUGGGCCGAGUUAACUGU
This 220-nucleotide signal recognition particle RNA is filed under the name Lachnospiraceae bacterium. RNAcentral's name for it is "partial signal recognition particle sRNA large type". It matches the Rfam family "Bacterial large signal recognition particle RNA", at positions 1 to 219 of the family's 256-position model. Rfam says of the family: The signal recognition particle (SRP) is a universally conserved ribonucleoprotein involved in the co-translational targeting of proteins to membranes. Archaeal SRP consists of a 7S RNA and homologues of the eukaryotic SRP19 and SRP54 proteins. Lineage: Bacteria; Bacillati; Bacillota; Clostridia; Lachnospirales; Lachnospiraceae. The record is from RNAcentral.